AUGUAGAGGAAAGUGGCGGACGGGUGAGUAACGCGUGAGGAACCUGCCUUGAAGAGGGGGACAACAGUUGGAAACGACUGCUAAUACCGCAUAACGCAUAGGGGUCGCAUGAUCUUUAUGCCAAAGAUUUAUUGCUUCAAGAUGGCCUCGCGUCUGAUUAGCUAGUUGGCGGGGUAACGGCCCACCAAGGCGACGAUCAGUAGCCGGACUGAGAGGUUGAACGGCCACAUUGGGACUGAGAUACGGCCCAGACUCCUACGGGAGGCAGCAGUGGGGAAUAUUGGGCAAUGGGCGCAAGCCUGACCCAGCAACGCCGCGUGAAGGAAGAAGGCUUUCGGGUUGUAAACUUCUUUUAAGAGGGAAGAGUAGAAGACGGUACCUCUAGAAUAAGCCACGGCUAACUACGUGCCAGCAGCCGCGGUAAUACGUAGGUGGCAAGCGUUGUCCGGAUUUACUGGGUGUAAAGGGCGUGCAGCCGGGUCUGCAAGUCAGAUGUGAAAUCCAUGGGCUCAACCCAUGAACUGCAUUUGAAACUGUAGAUCUUGAGUGUCGGAGGGGCAAUCGGAAUUCCUAGUGUAGCGGUGAAAUGCGUAGAUAUUAGGAGGAACACCAGUGGCGAAGGCGGAUUGCUGGACGAUAACUGACGGUGAGGCGCGAAAGUGUGGGGAGCAAACAGGAUUAGAUACCCUGGUAGUCCACACUGUAAACGAUGAAUACUAGGUGUGCGGGGACUGACCCCCUGCGUGCCGCAGUAA
Molecule: ribosomal RNA, 755 nt
Filed under: uncultured bacterium
Lineage: Bacteria
Description: bacterial SSU rRNA
Rfam family: Bacterial small subunit ribosomal RNA
Source: RNAcentral